RNAcentral lists this ribosomal RNA (254 nucleotides) under uncultured bacterium. Its description in RNAcentral is "partial 16S ribosomal RNA". It matches the Rfam family "Bacterial small subunit ribosomal RNA", at positions 524 to 776 of the family's 1533-position model. The record is from RNAcentral.
UACGGGGGGAGCAAGCGUUGUUCGGAUUUACUGGGCGUAAAGGGCGCGUAGGCGGCCACCGCAAGUCGACUGUGAAAUCUCCGGGCUUAACCCGGAAAGGUCAGCCGAUACUGCGGGGCUAGAGUGCAGAAGGGGCAACUGGAAUUCUCGGUGUAGCGGUGAAAUGCGUAGAUAUCGAGAGGAACACCUGCGGCGAAGGCGGGUUGCUGGGCCGACACUGACGCUGAGGCGCGAAAGCUAGGGUAGCAAACGGG